This 818-nucleotide long non-coding RNA is filed under the name Salmo salar (Atlantic salmon). RNAcentral describes it as "lncRNA (ENSSSAG00000106252.1)". The record is from RNAcentral. Lineage: Eukaryota; Metazoa; Chordata; Actinopteri; Salmoniformes; Salmonidae.
AGCUUGCGGUGGGGUCUGUGUGUGAUCUUGCGGUGGGGUCUGUGUGUGUGUGUGUGUGUGUGUGUGUCCCAACAAUGUGUGUUCUCUCAUGUCUAGGAUGUGAAGGCCAUAGUGACUCGUUUUACAGUGUGUGUGUGUGUGUGUGACGUGAAAUAUGGGUGCCAUGAGGGGUAACUAUAGAGGAGGUGUAGAGGAGCCUCAACAACCUAUUAAUAACACUGCAGGAGGUCUCUGGAGGUCUCAGGAAAACUCAGGUGGGUUUCAGGGGGUCUCUGGAGGUCUCUGAAGGUCUCAGGAAAACUCAGGGGGUCUCUGGAUGUCUCAGGAAAACUCAGGGGGUCUCUGGAGGUCUCAGGGGGUUUCAGGGGGUCUCUGGAGGUCUCAGGAAAACUCAGGCGGGUUUCGGGGUCUCAGGAGGUUUUAGAAGUCUCUGGAGGUCUCUGGGUCUCAGGUCUCAGGAAGUAUCAGAAGGUAUCAGGGGUUUUCAGGAAGUAUCAGAAGGUAUCAGGGGUUCUCAGGAAGUAUCAGAAGGUAUCAGGGGUUCUCAGGAAGUAUCAGAAGGUAUCAGGGAGUAUCAGAAGGUAUCAGGGGUUUUCAGGAAGUAUCAGAAGGUAUCAGGGGUUCUCAGGAAGUAUCAGAAGGUAUCAGGGGUUCUCAGGAAGUAUCAGAAGGUAUCAGGGGUUCUCAGGAAGUAUCAGAAGGUAUCAGGGGUUCUCAGGAAGUAUCAGAAGGUAUCAGGGGUUCUCAGGAAGUAUCAGAAGGUAUCAGGGGUUCUCAGGAAGUAUCAGAAGGUAUCAGGAGGUCACAUGAGGUUUUAG